UACGUAGGGGGCAAGCGUUGUCCGGAUUUAUUGGGCGUAAAGAGCGUGUAGGCGGUUAGGUAGGUCCGUUGUGAAAACUCGAGGCUCAACCUCGAGACGCCGAUGGAAACCAUCUGACUAGAGUCCGGAAGAGGAGAGUGGAAUUCCUGGUGUAACGGUGAAAUGCGCAGAUAUCAGGAAGAACACCCGUGGCUAAGGCGGCUCUCUAGUACGUGACUGACGCUGAGACGCGAAAGCGUGGGGAGCGAACAGG
Molecule: ribosomal RNA, 253 nt
Filed under: uncultured bacterium
Lineage: Bacteria
Description: partial 16S ribosomal RNA
Rfam family: Bacterial small subunit ribosomal RNA
Source: RNAcentral